RNAcentral lists this ribosomal RNA (483 nucleotides) under Plesionika crosnieri. RNAcentral's name for it is "partial 16S ribosomal RNA". It matches the Rfam family "Bacterial large subunit ribosomal RNA", at positions 1852 to 2588 of the family's 2925-position model. Lineage: Eukaryota; Metazoa; Arthropoda; Malacostraca; Decapoda; Pandalidae. The record is from RNAcentral.
GUCUGGCCUGCCCACUGAGUUUAUUAAUUUAAAGGGCCGCAGUAGCCUGACUGUGCGAAGGUAGCAUAAUCAAUAGCCCUUUAAUUGGGGGCUGGAAUGAAUGGUUGGACAAAGAGUAAGCUGUCUCUUCGAUAUCCUUUGAAUUUUACUUUUAAGUGAAAAGGCUUAAAUACCUUUGGGGGACGAUAAGACCCUAUAAAACUUUACAGUAAGGCUUAUGCUUUUUGAAUUGACGUGUAAAUUAAAGCAUGGCUGAUCUGUUAUGUUGGGGAGACACUAUCAUAAUAAGUAACUGUAAGUAGCACUGAAUAAUAAUAAUUAGUUUAAUUGAUCCUUUAUUAGAGAUUAUAAGAUUAAGUUACUUUAGGGAUAACAGCGUAAUUCUCUUUGAGAGUCCUUAUCGACAAGAGUAGUUGCGACCUCGAUGUUGAAUUAAGAUUUCCUUUUAGUGUAGCAGCUUUGGGGGUAGGUCUGUUCGACCUU